AACGAACGCUGGCGGCAUGCCUAACACAUGCAAGUCGAACGAAGCCUUCGGGCUUAGUGGCGCACGGGUGCGUAACGCGUGGGAAUCUGCCCUUGGGUUCGGAAUAACAGUUAGAAAUGACUGCUAAUACCGGAUGAUGUCUUCGGACCAAAGAUUUAUCGCCCAAGGAUGAGCCCGCGUAGGAUUAGGUAGUUGGUGGGGUAAUGGCCCACCAAGCCGACGAUCCUUAGCUGGUCUGAGAGGAUGAUCAGCCACACUGGGACUGAGACACGGCCCAGACUCCUACGGGAGGCAGCAGUGGGGAAUAUUGGACAAUGGGCGAAAGCCUGAUCCAGCAAUGCCGCGUGAGUGAUGAAGGCCUUAGGUUGUAAAGCUCUUUUACCAGGGAUGAUAAUGACAGUACCUGGAGAAUAAGCUCCGGCUAACUCCGUG
This 432-nucleotide ribosomal RNA is filed under the name uncultured bacterium. Its description in RNAcentral is "bacterial SSU rRNA". It matches the Rfam family "Bacterial small subunit ribosomal RNA", at positions 29 to 507 of the family's 1533-position model. The record is from RNAcentral.